GCCGCUGCUAAAGCGGAGGAGGGAAUGGGCAACGGUAGGUCAGUAUGCCCCGAAUAUCCCGGGCUACACGCGAGCUACAAUGGUUGGUACAAUGGGUAUCUACCCCGAAAGGGACGGGAAUCUCCUAAAACCAAUCUUAGUUCGGAUUGAGGGCCGCAACUCGCCCUCAUGAAGCUGGAAUCCGUAGUAAUCGCGUUUCAACAGAACGCGGUGAAUACGUCCCUGCUCCUU
RNAcentral lists this ribosomal RNA (231 nucleotides) under uncultured Methanosaeta sp. Its description in RNAcentral is "partial 16S ribosomal RNA". It matches the Rfam family "Archaeal small subunit ribosomal RNA", at positions 1107 to 1338 of the family's 1478-position model. The record is from RNAcentral. Lineage: Archaea; Methanobacteriati; Methanobacteriota; Methanomicrobia; Methanotrichales; Methanotrichaceae.